GAUGAACGCUAGCUACAGGCUUAACACAUGCAAGUCGAGGGGCAUCAGUUUGGUUUGCUUGCAAACCAAAGCUGGCGACCGGCGCACGGGUGAGUAACACGUAUCCAACCUGCCUCAUACUCGGGGAUAGCCUUUCGAAAGAAAGAUUAAUAUCCGAUAGCAUAUAUUUCCCGCAUGGGUUUUAUAUUAAAGAAAUUCGGUAUGAGAUGGGGAUGCGUUCCAUUAGUUUGUUGGGGGGGUAACGGCCCACCAAGACUACGAUGGAUAGGGGUUCUGAGAGGAAGGUCCCCCACAUUGGAACUGAGACACGGUCCAA
Molecule: ribosomal RNA, 316 nt
Filed under: uncultured bacterium
Lineage: Bacteria
Description: bacterial SSU rRNA
Rfam family: Bacterial small subunit ribosomal RNA
Source: RNAcentral